Molecule: ribosomal RNA, 273 nt
Filed under: uncultured prokaryote
Description: partial 16S ribosomal RNA
Rfam family: Bacterial small subunit ribosomal RNA
Source: RNAcentral
UACGGAAGGUGCGAGCGUUAAUCGGAAUUACUGGGCGUAAAGCGCGCGUAGGCGGCUUGGUAAGUCGGGUGUGAAAGCCCCGGGCUCAACCUGGGAACUGCAUUCGAUACUGCUGGGCUAGAGUACGAGAGAGGGGGGUGGAAUUCCAGGUGUAGCGGUGAAAUGCGUAGAGAUCUGGAGGAACACCGGUGGCGAAGGCGGCCCCCUGGUUCGAUACUGACGCUGAGGUGCGAAAGCGUGGGGAGCAAACAGGAUUAGAAACCCUAGUAGUCC